AGUGAACGCUGGCGGUAGGCCUAACACAUGCAAGUCGAACGGCAGCACAGUAAGAGCUUGCUCUUACGGGUGGCGAGUGGCGGACGGGUGAGGAAUACAUCGGAAUCUACUUUUUCGUGGGGGAUAACGUAGGGAAACUUACGCUAAUACCGCAUACGACCUACGGGUGAAAGCAGGGGAUCUUCGGACCUUGCGCGAUUGAAUGGGCCGAUGUCGGAUUAGCUAGUUGGCGGGGUAAAGGCCCACCAAGGCGACGAUCCGUAGCUGGUCUGAGAGGAUGAUCAGCCACACUGGAACUGAGACACGGUCCAGACUCCUACGGGGGGCAGCAGUGGGGAAUAUUGGACAAUGGGCGCAAGCCUGAUCCAGCCAUACCGCGUGGGUGAAGAAGGCCUUCGGGUUGUAAAGCCCUUUUGUUGGGAAAGAAAAGCAGCAGGUUAAUACCCCGCUGUUCUGACGGUACCCAAAGAAUAAGCACCGGCUAACUUCGUG
RNAcentral lists this ribosomal RNA (492 nucleotides) under uncultured bacterium. RNAcentral describes it as "partial 16S ribosomal RNA". It matches the Rfam family "Bacterial small subunit ribosomal RNA", at positions 29 to 507 of the family's 1533-position model. The record is from RNAcentral.